UUACCCGCUGAAACUUAAGCAUAUCAAUAAGCGGAGGAAAAGAAACUAACAAGGAUUCCCCUAGUAACUGCGAGUGAAGCGGGAAAAGCUCAAAUUUAAAAUCUGGCGGUCUUUGGCCGUCCGAGUUGUAGUCUGGAGAAGUGCUUUCCGCGCUGGACCGUGUAUAAGUCUCUUGGAACAGAGCGUCAUAGAGGGUGAGAAUCCCGUCUUUGACACGGACUACCAGUGCUUUGUGAUGCGCUCUCAAAGAGUCGAGUUGUUUGGGAAUGCAGCUCAAAAUGGGUGGUGAAUUCCAUCUAAAGCUAAAUAUUGGCGAGAGACCGAUAGCGAACAAGUACCGUGAGGGAAAGAUGAAAAGCACUUUGGAAAGAGAGUUAAACAGUACGUGAAAUUGCUGAAAGGGAAACGCUUGAAGUCAGUCGCGUUGUCCGGAACUCAACCUUGCUUUUGCUUGGUGCACUUUCCGGAUGACGGGUCAGCAUCGAUUUUGACCGUCGGAAAAGGGCUAGAGUAAUGUGGCACCUCCGGGUGUGUUAUAGACUCUGGUCGCAUACGGCGGUUGGGAUCGAGGAACGCAGCGCGCCGUAAGGCAGGGGUUCGCCCACUUUCGCGCUUAGGAUGCUGGCAUAAUGGCUUUAAACGACCCGUCUUGAAACACGGACCAAGGAGUCUAACAUACCUGCGAGUGUUUGGGUGGAAAACCCGAGCGCGUAAUGAAAGUGAAAGUUGAGACCCCUGUCGUGGGGGGCAUCGACGCCCGGACCUGACGUUCUCUGACGGAUCCGCGGUAGAGCAUGUAUGUUGGGACCCGAAAGAUGGUGAACUAUGCCUGAAUAGGGUGAAGCCAGAGGAAACUCUGGUGGAGGCUCGUAGCGAUUCUGACGUGCAAAUCGAUCGUCAAAUUUGGGUAUAGGGGCGAAAGAC
This 924-nucleotide ribosomal RNA is filed under the name Ganoderma williamsianum. Its description in RNAcentral is "partial large subunit ribosomal RNA". It matches the Rfam family "Eukaryotic large subunit ribosomal RNA", at positions 21 to 931 of the family's 3401-position model. The record is from RNAcentral. Lineage: Eukaryota; Fungi; Basidiomycota; Agaricomycetes; Polyporales; Polyporaceae.